This 200-nucleotide ribosomal RNA is filed under the name uncultured bacterium. Its description in RNAcentral is "partial 16S ribosomal RNA". It matches the Rfam family "Bacterial small subunit ribosomal RNA", at positions 1301 to 1500 of the family's 1533-position model. The record is from RNAcentral.
CAGGCUGCAACUCGCCUGCACGAAGUCGGAAUUGCUAGUAAUCGUAGGUCAGCAUACUACGGUGAAUACGUUCCCGGGCCUUGUACACACCGCCCGUCAAACCAUGAGAGUUGGCAACACCCGAAGUCGGUAGUCUAACCGCAAGGAGGACGCCGCCGAAGGUGGGGUUGAUGAUUAGGGUUAAGUCGUAACAAGGUAUC